AACGAACGCUGGCGGCAUGCCUAACACAUGCAAGUCGAACGAGACCUUCGGGUCUAGUGGCGCACGGGUGCGUAACGCGUGGGAACCUGCCCUUAGGUUCGGAAUAACUCCCCGAAAGGGGUGCUAAUACCGGAUAAUGUCUUCGGACCAAAGAUUUAUCGCCUUUGGAUGGGCCCGCGUUGGAUUAGCUUGUUGGUAGGGUAAAAGCCUACCAAGGCGACGAUCCAUAGCUGGUCUGAGAGGAUGAUCAGCAACACUGGGACUGAGACACGGCCCAGACUCCUACGGGAGGCAGCAGUGGGGAAUAUUGGACAAUGGGCGAAAGCCUGAUCCAGCAAUGCCGCGUGAGUGAUGAAGGCCUUAGGGUUGUAAAGCUCUUUUACCCGGGAUGAUAAUGACAGUACCGGGAGAAUAAGCUCCGGCUAACUCCGU
RNAcentral lists this ribosomal RNA (432 nucleotides) under uncultured bacterium. RNAcentral's name for it is "partial 16S ribosomal RNA". It matches the Rfam family "Bacterial small subunit ribosomal RNA", at positions 29 to 506 of the family's 1533-position model. The record is from RNAcentral.